GGCGGUAUUUGGCCGUGGUCGUCUCGAUUGUUUGUUUGUCUGUUUCUGUGUCCGUUGUGUCCGGGGCAGUGGUGGAUUUUGUCCGGCGCAGGAAGUUGGUGCGGCGGUCUUUCAGUCCCUGGGGAUGAAUGGUUGUGAUGGCGUUUGCAGGCGCGCAACUUGAAAAAAGAAGACCAGAUUUAAGACUGAUGAAUUGUAUAAUAAACUCAAAUUAUUUCUGUGUUUAAUUUAUAGAAAUCCCUCGAAAUAUUAAUUUGAAUACAUAUUAUUGCUGAG
Amyelois transitella is the source of this 276-nucleotide long non-coding RNA. RefSeq lists it as uncharacterized. The transcript has 2 exons. Lineage: Eukaryota; Metazoa; Arthropoda; Insecta; Lepidoptera; Pyralidae. The record is from RefSeq and is a predicted model, not a curated record.